AUUUUUUGAUAACUCCAUCAUAAGCUAAAAAUGACCAAUAAUAAUUUUAGUAGUAAUAAUAGACAUUAGAAUACUGAAUCCUUUAAGGUGGCAAAAUCAUCUAGAUAUGAUCCAGAUCCCCAAGGUAGUAAGCAAUCACUUUACUAUCUUUUUAAUAAAAGUAUUUCUAGCCAAUAUACCAUGAAAAUAGUCAAGUUCAGUUUAUCAUAAGGGCUAUUGAGAUCAGAAUAUCAUAAGUUGAAUGAUUGCAAAUUAUUCCUUUUAUAUGUGCAACAAUAUCCAAAAGUUCAACAUAUGCUGUAUCCAUAUCAAGUUCUUAUCAAUCACUGCUAAAUGAUAGCAAACACUAUUCAUGACAAUAAUGCAAUGUGACACAAAUAUUUGAUAAAAACUUUGUUUUGUUCUGUGUUUCAAAGUGACUGCCAACCAUUUCUUCAUAAUAAUCUCCAGAUUUUAGUCAAAUAAAAAUCAUCUAUACCUUCCAUAUAUAUAUUCACUGUUACUUCCAGCAUGAGUUAUGAUGAAUUAGUCUGCUGCCACUUGACUGUUUCAGACCUGUUGUUAAAUUUGUACAUUUAGUCUACAGACUACUUAUAAUGAUAUUGUCUUUGUGUCUUGAUCCUUUUAUGACUUGAAUUUACCAAGGUUUUAUCCAAGAAAUAGAUUUUCUCCUUUUGUUGUUUAUGCUUUUCUAUCAGUCUGAAAUACUGCUUCUGCCAUUAAAUAUCAGAUUGCUCUAGCUAUACAGCAUUCCUAAUAUGCUUGGCAAAAUAAAGCCAACAUCUUUCAAUAUACAUCUCAAUGUAGAUUUCUUAAUGUACUUUGGGGAAAAUUCUAUUAUUGUUCAUCUCUGGCAAAAGUUUAAUCAUAUUAAAGUUCAUUUAUUUGGGGAAAAAACAAACUUUCUUACAAAUGCACAAAAGAAAUAUACUCGUCAUAUCUUAUCAAAUAGUCCAUUUGCCAAUACCACGAAUCCUAUUCUUGCUGAAAAUAGUUGGAUCUUUGCCUGUACAUAAUGUUCCUUAACCUUUAUCUUGAAAAUUGUUGUCUGCAACACUCCAGCCAAAUUUGCUGUUUGGUCAAUAAUUUUUGUGUGCUGUCCUCUGAAUUUUCUUGUCACAGUCUUUCAUGAUUCAAAACAUUGUUUCUGGCUGUGCUUUGCAGUGGUGUACUUUGUCAGCUUUUAGAAAAAAAAUGUUCUGGUAAUAACAGAAGAGAAUAUUUGUCUUUAGUUAUUGGCCAUGAUUUAUAAUAAACAAUGGUUUGAAAAUUGUUACUUAUAUAUUGUAUAUAUGAGGGGUGCAGAGCAGAAGUGGUGUAAGUCCAAAAUUGACAUUUUUGAGGCAACUACAUACCAGUGUACGAAUUAUACUGUAUAUUGUAGAGGUGAACUUUUUUAAGUCCAAAGGGCUAUAUUUAGCUCAUAGAUGGCGUGACUUUACUACAGCUAUUACAAAUUA
RNAcentral lists this long non-coding RNA (1460 nucleotides) under Androctonus crassicauda. The record is from RNAcentral. Lineage: Eukaryota; Metazoa; Arthropoda; Arachnida; Scorpiones; Buthidae.